This 500-nucleotide ribosomal RNA is filed under the name uncultured bacterium. Its description in RNAcentral is "partial 16S ribosomal RNA". It matches the Rfam family "Bacterial small subunit ribosomal RNA", at positions 28 to 507 of the family's 1533-position model. The record is from RNAcentral.
GACGAACGCUGGCGGCGUGCUUAACACAUGCAAGUCGAACGGGCCUGUCUUCUUUUUUGGGGGGUGGGUUGAGUGGCGAACGGGUGAGUAUCACGUGAGUAACCUGCCCUUCGGUCCUGGAUAACCGCUUGAAAGGGCGGCUAAUACGGGGUGGUCCGGUUGGUCCGCAUGGGCUGGUCGGGAUAGAUUCACUGUUUUUGGUGUUUCGGCGGGGGAUGGGCUCGCGGCCUAUCAGCUUGUUGGUGGGGUGAUGGCCUACCAAGGCGGUGACGGGUAGCCGGCCUGAGAGGGUGGGCGGCCACACUGGGACUGAGAUACGGCCCAGACUCCUGCGGGAGGCAGCAGUGGGGGGUAUUGCACAAUGGGCGGAAGCCUGAUGCAGCGACGUCGCGUGAGGGAUGGAGGCCUUCGGGUUGUGAACCUCUGUUUCCGGUGGUGAAGGCCCUGUCCGUGUGGUGGGGUUGACGGUAGCCGGGGAUGAAGCGCCGGCUAACUACGUG